RNAcentral lists this ribosomal RNA (292 nucleotides) under uncultured bacterium. Its description in RNAcentral is "partial 16S ribosomal RNA". It matches the Rfam family "Bacterial small subunit ribosomal RNA", at positions 505 to 796 of the family's 1533-position model. The record is from RNAcentral.
GUGUCAGCAGCCGCGGUAAUACGGAAGGGGCUAGCGUUGUUCGGAAUCACUGGGCGUAAAGCGCGCGUAGGCGGCUCUGCAAGUGCGGCGUGAAAGUCCUGGGCUCAACCUGGGGACGGCGCUGCGGACUGUUGGGCUAGAGUCCGGAAGAGGGUGGUGGAAUUCCGAGUGUAGAGGUGAAAUUCGUAGAUAUUCGGAGGAACACCGGUGGCGAAGGCGGCCACCUGGUCCGGCACUGACGCUGAAGCGCGAAAGCGUGGGGAGCAAACAGGAUUAGAUACCCUAGUAGUCC